UAAUAAGUGUUUUAUGGCACUUUUUAAAUCCGUAUCCACCUUGUGUGCAAUGUCGGUCGAUCUUCUUCUUGAGGAUCGACCAAACAUCAACCUUUAUCUUUUAACUCUUUGUCUGAAAAAUAUUACGAAUAAACAAUUCAAAAUA
This 145-nucleotide unclassified non-coding RNA is filed under the name soil metagenome. RNAcentral describes it as "partial internal transcribed spacer 1". The record is from RNAcentral.